UACGGAGGGGGCUAGCGUUGUUCGGAAUUACUGGGCGUAAAGCGCACGUAGGCGGCUUUGCAAGUUAGAGGUGAAAGCCCGGGGCUCAACUCCGGAAUUGCCUUUAAAACUGCAUCGCUAGAAUUGUGGAGAGGUAAGUGGAAUUCCGAGUGUAGAGGUGAAAUUCGUAAAUAUUCGGAAGAACACCAGUGGCGAAGGCGACUUACUGGACACAUAUUGACGCUGAGGUGCGAAAGCGUGGGGAGCAAACAGG
This 253-nucleotide ribosomal RNA is filed under the name uncultured bacterium. RNAcentral describes it as "partial 16S ribosomal RNA". It matches the Rfam family "Bacterial small subunit ribosomal RNA", at positions 524 to 776 of the family's 1533-position model. The record is from RNAcentral.